RNAcentral lists this transfer RNA (71 nucleotides) under Toxocara canis (dog roundworm). It matches the Rfam family "tRNA". From Rfam's summary of the family: Transfer RNA (tRNA) molecules are approximately 80 nucleotides in length. Their secondary structure includes four short double-helical elements and three loops (D, anti-codon, and T loops). Further hydrogen bonds mediate the characteristic L-shaped molecular structure. tRNAs have two regions of fundamental functional importance: the anti-codon, which is responsible for specific mRNA codon recognition, and the 3' end, to which the tRNAs corresponding amino acid is attached (by aminoacyl-tRNA synthetases). tRNAs cope with the degeneracy of the genetic code in two manners: having more than one tRNA (with a specific anti-codon) for a particular amino acid; and 'wobble' base-pairing, i.e. permitting non-standard base-pairing at the 3rd anti-codon position. The record is from Rfam by way of RNAcentral. Lineage: Eukaryota; Metazoa; Nematoda; Chromadorea; Rhabditida; Toxocaridae.
GCGGCAGUAGCUCAAUGGUAGAGACCCCGCUCUGCAUGCGGGGAGACUGGGCUCGAUUCCCGGCUGCUUCC